RNAcentral lists this ribosomal RNA (398 nucleotides) under uncultured bacterium. RNAcentral describes it as "partial 16S ribosomal RNA". It matches the Rfam family "Bacterial small subunit ribosomal RNA", at positions 523 to 918 of the family's 1533-position model. The record is from RNAcentral.
AUACGUAGGGUGCGAGCGUUGUCCGGAAUUACUGGGCGUAAAGGGCUCGUAGGUGGUUUGUCGCGUCGUCUGUGAAAUUCCGGGGCUUAACUCCGGGCGUGCAGGCGAUACGGGCAUAACUUGAGUACUGUAGGGGAGACUGGAAUUCCUGGUGUAGCGGUGAAAUGCGCAGAUAUCAGGAGGAACACCGGUGGCGAAGGCGGGUCUCUGGGCAGUAACUGACGCUGAGGAGCGAAAGCAUGGGUAGCGAACAGGAUUAGAUACCCUGGUAGUCCAUGCCGUAAACGGUGGGCGCUAGGUGUAGGGGUCUUCCACGACUUCUGUGCCGUAGCUAACGCAUUAAGCGCCCCGCCUGGGGAGUACGGCCGCAAGGCUAAAACUCAAAUGAAUUGACGGGG